This 441-nucleotide ribosomal RNA is filed under the name uncultured bacterium. RNAcentral describes it as "partial 16S ribosomal RNA". It matches the Rfam family "Bacterial small subunit ribosomal RNA", at positions 338 to 795 of the family's 1533-position model. The record is from RNAcentral.
CCUACGGGAGGCAGCAGUGGGGAAUAUUGCGCAAUGGGGGAAACCCUGACGCAGCAACGCCGCGUGAGUGAAGAAGUAUCUCGGUGUGUAAAGCUCUAUCAGCGGGGAAGAAGGAAGACGGUACCCGACUAAGAAGCCCCGGCUAACUACGUGCCAGCAGCCGCGGUAAUACGUAGGGGGCGCGCGUUAUCCGGAUUUACUGGGUGUAAAGGGAGCGUAGACGGCGUCGUAAGUCAGAAGUGAAAGCCUGUGGCUCAACCGCAGAACCGCUUUGGAAACUGCGAGGCUGGAGUGCUGGAGAGGUAGGCGGAAUUCCUGGUGUAGCGGUGAAAUGCGUAGAUAUCAGGAGGAACACCGGUGGCGAAGGCAGCUUACUGGACAGUGACUGACGUUGAGGCUCGAAAGCGUGGGGAGCAAACAGGAUUAGAUACCCUGGUAGUC